UACGUAGGAGACGAGCGUUGUCCGGAGUUACUGGGCGUAAAGGGUGCGCAGGCGGCCUUGCGCGUCGCGAGUGAAAUCUCCCGGCUCAACUGGGAGGGUGCGCCGAAUACUGAGAGGCUAGAGUGUGGGAGAGGAAAGUGGAAUUCCUGGUGUAGCGGUGAAAUGCGUAGAUAUCAGGAGGAACACCGGUGGUGUAAACGGCUUUCUGGACCAUAACUGACGCUGAGGCACGAAAGCGUGGGUAGCAAACAGG
RNAcentral lists this ribosomal RNA (253 nucleotides) under uncultured bacterium. Its description in RNAcentral is "partial 16S ribosomal RNA". It matches the Rfam family "Bacterial small subunit ribosomal RNA", at positions 524 to 776 of the family's 1533-position model. The record is from RNAcentral.